UGAGCAAACCUGCCCCCAGACACUGGGGAUAAGCGCUCGAAAGGGCGUCUAAUACCCGGAUAUGAACUCAUGCGGCAUCACAUGAGUUGGAAAGCUCCGGCGGUCUGGGAUGGGCUCGCGGCCUAUCAGCUUGUUGGUGAGGUAACGGCUCACCAAGGCUUCGACGGGUAGCCGGCCUGAGAGGGCGACCGGCCACACUGGGACUGAGAUACGGCCCAGACUCCUACGGGAGGCAGCAGUGGGGAAUAUUGCGCAAUGGGCGGAAGCCUGACGCAGCAACGCCGCGUGCGGGAUGACGGCCUUCGGGUUGUAAACCGCUUUCAGCAGGGACGAAGCGCAAGUGACGGUACCUGCAGAAGAAGCACCGGCCAACUACGUGC
This 380-nucleotide ribosomal RNA is filed under the name uncultured Rhodopirellula sp. RNAcentral describes it as "bacterial SSU rRNA". It matches the Rfam family "Bacterial small subunit ribosomal RNA", at positions 118 to 508 of the family's 1533-position model. Lineage: Bacteria; Pseudomonadati; Planctomycetota; Planctomycetia; Pirellulales; Pirellulaceae. The record is from RNAcentral.